Molecule: ribosomal RNA, 850 nt
Filed under: uncultured bacterium
Lineage: Bacteria
Description: bacterial SSU rRNA
Rfam family: Bacterial small subunit ribosomal RNA
Source: RNAcentral
GCNNGGUUACGAANUUCGCCCCUUAGAGUUUGAUCAUGGACUCAGGAUGAACGCUAGCGGCAGGCUUAACACAUGCAAGUCGAGGGGCAGCAUGUCCAGCAAUGGAUGAUGGCGACCGGCGGAAGGGUGCGUAACGCGUGAGCAACAUGCCCUAUACAGGGAGAUACACCAGGGAAACUUGGUCUAAUAUCCCAUAGCAUUCAUUGAAGGCAUCUUUAAUGAAUUAAAGCUUCGGUGGUAUAGGAUUGGCUCGCGUGACAUUAGCCAGAUGGUGAGGUAACGGCUCACCAUAGCAAUGAUGUCUAGGGGUUUUGAGAGGAAGGCCCCCCACACUGGGACUGAGACACGGCCCAGACUCCUACGGGAGGCAGCAGUGAGGAAUAUUGGACAAUGGAUGGAAAUCUGAUCCAGCCAUGCCGCGUGCAGGAAGACGGCCUUAUGGGUUGUAAACUGCUUUUAUACGGGAGCAAUAAGGGUUACGAGUAAUCCGAUGAGAGUACUGUAUGAAUAAGGAUCGGCUAACUCCGUGCCAGCAGCCGCGGUAAUACGGAGGAUCCGAGCGUUAUCCGGAAUUAUUGGGUUUAAAGGGUGCGUAGGCGGCCAUUUAAGUCAGCGGUGAAAUUUUGCAGCUUAACUGUAACAGUGCCGUUGAUACUGUUUGGCUAGGAUUUGGUUGUAGUGUGCGGAAUGUGUGGUGUAGCGGUGAAAUGCUUAGAUAUCACACAGAACACCGAUUGCGAAGGCAGCACACUAAGUCAUUAUUGACGCUGAGGCACGAAAGUGUGGGGAUCAAACAGGAUUAGAUACCCUGGUAGUCCACACUGUAAACGAUGAUAACUCGCUGUCGGCG